RNA transcript from Nerophis ophidion (straightnose pipefish), 1193 nucleotides. RefSeq lists it as uncharacterized. NCBI's taxonomy places the organism in Eukaryota, Metazoa, Chordata, Actinopteri, Syngnathiformes, Syngnathidae. The transcript is spliced from 6 exons. The record is from RefSeq and is a predicted model, not a curated record.
CAUGUAUUAAUUGACGGUUUGUGACUUUUAUUGUGAAGGUUCUGACCAGAAGUUCUACUUAAGCUUGUAUCCAACUUUUCAGAGGCGUUAAUGUGGUUUGAGCUCCAUAGCAACCAGAUGACUGACACAUAAAAGUGGACUACAUAGUUGCAAAAAGAACUUAUCCCAGUCAGAAGGAGAUACUUUUUUUUGGAAUAGAGAGCCUAUAGAAGAAGAAAAAUGCACUCCGCAAAGGUUGGCAGACACAAACAGACUUUGGACGCUCCAUCCGAGCCGAGAACCAGGACCAAAACGCUCAGAGUCCCCCCGUUGCGUGGAAACAGAGCAGCCAGCUGUCCCAGAGCGCCCCAGAAGGGGGGUCCCUCCAAGGUGAGCUUUGAACGCAGGACCAGGUCCAGCUCCGCUGCCCCCGGACCCGACGGACUGAAAGGAAAGCGGGGCUUACAUGCAGAGUGGCGGGAAGGGAGCGAGGGUCCUGGGCAGAGGGGGCGAGGGGGCGUCCAGACUCAGAAGAAGCUUGCAAUCCAGAGCCACAACGCCUUCACUGUCAUCCCCCCUGACCCCAAGAAGAGACGGGAGAUCCAAAAAAAGGCGGAUGCCGAGCUCGCCGCUCUGGAGGAGCUGAGGCUGAGCAGAGCGAUGGCGUACGUCACCAUCCAACCCAGCACAGUUGGGGGCUGUAGCGCGAAAUUUUGAUUUUUCCGGUUUGGCUACCUAAUAAGUUGGGAAGGCAUGCCAGACCGAUGUGUGUGUCAAAUUUGGGGGCCGCAUGAGUCUGGAGGCAGUCCGGCUGAGGCAACAGCAGGAAAUGAUGCAGACCAAGAGGAAACCGAUGCGGAAGCAGCUGCUGGAGCAAACUCGUGUUCUGACGGGCUGAGCUCCACGCAAGAGAGGAGAAUCCAAACCCUUUUUUAGAGUUACACAAUGCAAUAAAUUAUGCCAAUCCAAAUAUUAUAAUAAGGGCUUUCCACGGCAACAACAAGACGUGCGGAGAAAUAAUAAGCAAUCAAAGCAUUGAUUGUAAGACAAUAUUCUACAAAAAACAACAUGAAAACAUGUCAGAAUGCAACAUAAAACUCAGUGCUUAGAGCAGGGGUGUCAAACUCAUUUUUUGGAGAAAAAUCCACUCCCAAGUGGGCCGGACUGUUAAAAUCAUGGCAUGAUAACUUAAAAAUAAAGACAACUUCAGAUUG